Molecule: ribosomal RNA, 253 nt
Filed under: uncultured bacterium
Lineage: Bacteria
Description: partial 16S ribosomal RNA
Rfam family: Bacterial small subunit ribosomal RNA
Source: RNAcentral
UACGUAGGCAGCAAGCGUUGUUCGGAAUUACUGGGCGUAAAGGGCUCGUAGGCGGCCAACUAAGUCAGACGUGAAAUCCCUCGGCUUAACCGGGGAACUGCGUCUGAUACUGGAUGGCUUGAAUUCGGGAGAGGGAUGCAGAAUUCCAGGUGUAGCGGUGAAAUGCGUAGAUAUCUGGAGGAAUACCGGUGGCGAAGGCGGCAUCCUGGACCGACAUUGACGCUGAUGAGCGAAAGCUAGGGGAGCAAACGGG